CAUAGUUUUGGUCCUAAACUUACUGCUACUUUUAAUCAAAUUUACACAUGCAAGCAUCCACACACCAGUGAAAUACGCCCUAACACAGUAUAAAUGGAGCAGGUAUCAGGCACAACCGCCAGCCAAAAACACCAAGCUUUGCCACACCCACACGGGCCCUCAGCAGUGAUAAACAUUAAGCAAUAAGCGAACACACCAAACUAAAGCUUGACUUAGUUAUGAUUAACAGGGCCGGUAAACCUCGUGCCAGCCACCGCGGUUACACGGCGGGCCCAAAGCAGCAGACUCUCGGCGUAAAUAGUGGCCAGAAUAAUUACCCCCACAUUAAAAACUAAACCAUACCCUAACCGUAAAACACAGGCUAAAUGAAAUCAAGCACUUUUAAUAACAGGUAAUUUGACCCACGAAAACUAAGAAACAAACUAGGAUUAGAUACCCUACUAUGCUUAGUCGUUAAUAUGAUAUUAUAGUACUAAAAUAUCCGCCAGAAAACUACGAGCGAAAAGCUUAAAACUCAAAGGACUUGGCGGUGCUCCAUACCGACUUAGAGGAGCCUGUCCUAUAAUCGAUACCCCACGCUAAACCCCACCAAUCUUUGCCAUACCAGCCUAUAUACCGCC
Molecule: ribosomal RNA, 620 nt
Filed under: Sceloporus gadsdeni (Lagoon spiny lizard)
Lineage: Eukaryota; Metazoa; Chordata; Lepidosauria; Squamata; Phrynosomatidae
Description: partial 12S ribosomal RNA
Rfam family: Bacterial small subunit ribosomal RNA
Source: RNAcentral